RNAcentral lists this unclassified non-coding RNA (250 nucleotides) under fungal sp. RNAcentral describes it as "partial internal transcribed spacer region". The stretch from base 1 to 46 matches the Rfam family "Eukaryotic small subunit ribosomal RNA", at positions 1786 to 1831 of the family's 1831-position model. Lineage: Eukaryota; Fungi. The record is from RNAcentral. RNAcentral also lists the same sequence under 1 other name.
AAGUCGUAACAAGGUCUCCGUAGGUGAACCUGCGGAGGGAUCAUUAACAAAUCUAACACAUACCCUGUGUAAGCGUCUGUUCCUGGCUGGGUCAAGUGGGGAGUGUGUGUGGUGGUCUCUUUCGUGAGAAGGAGGGAACCCGUACGCCCACCAGGAUCAACAACUCAACAAACACUAUGAUUGUCAGUCACUGUAUAUUACAACAACAUGUAAUGACAAACAACUUUUAACAAUGGAUCUCUUGGCUCUU